Hyla sarda is the source of this 495-nucleotide long non-coding RNA. RefSeq lists it as uncharacterized. NCBI's taxonomy places the organism in Eukaryota, Metazoa, Chordata, Amphibia, Anura, Hylidae. The transcript is spliced from 3 exons. The record is from RefSeq and is a predicted model, not a curated record.
GAUUGGUUGCUAUGGGCAACUGGACAACUUUUCCUCUGCACCGUGUUUGAUAAAUCUCCCCCCAUAAGUUUCAGCUACACAGGUUCAGGUGAACUAUGAAGACACUGACUGCAAAAAGAACAUGUCUCUUAAUAGAAAUCAGUUUUCAAGAUGCAAAGUACAAGUUUCCAGGAAAGGAAAAUGAUAUGCCAAUGAGAAAAUAUGUUAUCAGAAUUAGGAUUAAAUCAACUGAAUAAUCAGCAUCUGUCAAUCAUUAAAUAGGAGCUGCCAAAAUGUGAGGUUUUCACCUAACAAUCUGCUGUCUAUGCAGAUGCGGAAGAUGCCACCAGAGCGAGCCUGGCGCUGAGAUGUUUAUGAGCAAUGGCAAAUUAACAUUUAAACUCACUAUGGAGCUGAUGCAAAUGUGCUGCCUGCCUUAUAUAACGUGUGGUGCCUGCACUUUCUGUUGAGUUGUCAAAAAUCAAGUACAGGGUAUACUGUGUAUUCAGGCCUUGG